This 85-nucleotide transfer RNA is filed under the name Felis catus (domestic cat). It matches the Rfam family "tRNA". Rfam says of the family: Transfer RNA (tRNA) molecules are approximately 80 nucleotides in length. Lineage: Eukaryota; Metazoa; Chordata; Mammalia; Carnivora; Felidae. The record is from Rfam by way of RNAcentral.
GCCCGGGUGGCUCAGUCGGUUAAGCGUCAGACUUCUGCUCAGGUCAUGAUCUCGCGGUCCGUGGGUUCGAGCCCCGCGUCGGGCU